This 227-nucleotide unclassified non-coding RNA is filed under the name Melitaea cinxia (Glanville fritillary). Its description in RNAcentral is "misc RNA ENSMCXG00005003123.1". Lineage: Eukaryota; Metazoa; Arthropoda; Insecta; Lepidoptera; Nymphalidae. The record is from RNAcentral.
AGGGAGUUGAUCUCUAAAGAAACAUUAUUUUGACACCUUCUAAUCAUCUAUAGAGAAUACAUUUUAAAUUUCAAGUCUCUAACCUCUAAAACAUAGGACUUUCCGAAACUAUAACACCUACAAACUUGAAAUUUGGCAAGUAGGCUCCUUAUAAGACGUAGGCAUCCGCUAAGAACGAAUUUUAUGAAACUCGACUCCUAAGGGGAUGAAACGGGGGUUGGAAGUUU